This 516-nucleotide ribosomal RNA is filed under the name uncultured bacterium. RNAcentral's name for it is "bacterial SSU rRNA". It matches the Rfam family "Bacterial small subunit ribosomal RNA", at positions 32 to 518 of the family's 1533-position model. The record is from RNAcentral.
ACGACGCUGGCGGCGUGCCUAAUACAUGCAAGUCGAACGGUCUUUCUAUGGAAGCUUGCUUCCACUGAGAAGAUAGUGGCGAACGGGUGAGUAACACGUGGGUAACCUGCCCAUAAGAGGGGGAUAACAUCCGGAAAUGGGUGCUAAUACCGCAUAGUUUUCUUGAUCGCAUGAUUGAGAAAGGAAAGACGGCCUUUGUGCUGUCGCUUAUGGAUGGACCCGCGGCGUAUUAGUUAGUUGGUGAGGUAACGGCUCACCAAGACGAUGAUACGUAGCCGACCUGAGAGGGUGAUCGGCCACAUUGGGACUGAGACACGGCCCAAACUCCUACGGGAGGCAGCAGUAGGGAAUCUUCCGCAAUGGACGAAAGUCUGACGGAGCAACGCCGCGUGAGUGAAGAAGGUUUUUCCGGAUCGUAAAACUCUGUUGUCAGAGAAGAACAAGUUGGAGAGUAACUGCUCCAGCCUUGACGGUAUCUGACCAGAAAGCCACGGCUAACUACGUGCCAGCAGCAGC